GGGACUGUGGCUCAGUGGCAGAGCGCUCACCUGGCAUGCAUGAGGCACUGGGUUCAAUCCCCAGCACCA
This 69-nucleotide transfer RNA is filed under the name Ictidomys tridecemlineatus (thirteen-lined ground squirrel). RNAcentral describes it as "Spermophilus tridecemlineatus (thirteen-lined ground squirrel) tRNA". It matches the Rfam family "tRNA". From Rfam's summary of the family: Transfer RNA (tRNA) molecules are approximately 80 nucleotides in length. Their secondary structure includes four short double-helical elements and three loops (D, anti-codon, and T loops). Lineage: Eukaryota; Metazoa; Chordata; Mammalia; Rodentia; Sciuridae. The record is from Rfam by way of RNAcentral.